ACCUCAGUGUCAGUAUCAGUCCAGGUGGUCGCCUUCGCCACUGGUGUUCCUUCCUAUAUCUACGCAUUUCACCGCUACACAGGAAAUUCCACCACCCUCUACCGUACUCUAGCUUGCCAGUUUUGGAUGCAGUUCCCAGGUUGAGCCCGGGGCUUUCACAUCCAACUUAACAAACCACCUACGCGCGCUUUACGCCCAGUAAUUCCGAUUAACGCUUGCACCCUCUGUAUUACCGCGGCUGCUGGCACAGAGUUAGCCGGUGCUUAUUCUGUCGGUAACGUCAAAACAGCAAGGUAUUAGCUUACUGCCCUUCCUCCCAACUUAAAGUGCUUUACAAUCCGAAGACCUUCUUCACACACGCGGCAUGGCUGGAUCAGGCUUUCGCCCAUUGUCCAAUAUUCCCCACUGCUGCCUCCCGUAGGAGUCUGGACCGUGUCUCAGUUCCAGUGUGACUGAUCAUCCUCUCAGACCAGUUACGGAUCGUCGCCUUGGUGAGCCAUUACCCCACCAACUAGCUAAUCCGACCUAGGCUCAUCUGAUAGCGCAAGGCCCGAAGGUCCCCUGCUUUCUCCCGUAGGACGUAUGCGGUAUUAGCGUUCCUUUCGAAACGUUGUCCCCCACUACCAGGCAGAUUCCUAGGCAUUACUCACCCGUCCGCCGCUGAAUCGAAGAGCAAGCUCUUCUCAUCCGCUCGACUUGCAUGUGUUAGGCCUGCCGCCAGCGUUCAAU
Molecule: ribosomal RNA, 729 nt
Filed under: Pseudomonas sp.
Lineage: Bacteria; Pseudomonadati; Pseudomonadota; Gammaproteobacteria; Pseudomonadales; Pseudomonadaceae
Description: partial 16S rRNA
Source: RNAcentral